RNAcentral lists this transfer RNA (57 nucleotides) under Panonychus citri (citrus red mite). Its description in RNAcentral is "tRNA-Thr". The record is from RNAcentral. Lineage: Eukaryota; Metazoa; Arthropoda; Arachnida; Trombidiformes; Tetranychidae.
UUAAUAAUAAUGUAAUUUAAACUGUUCAAAUUUUGUAAAUUUGAAAUAUAUUUUAAA